GUACAGCGCCGGUCAACAUCGCGGUCAUCAAGUACUGGCCUCGACAGACGGGGAAACUGAGGCUCAGGGAGGGGCGCGGCGGUGGUCGGGCGGGGCCGCGCGCUCCUUCGCGUGACAAGCUCGGCGCCACCCGUUCCCCCGCGACGGCUGCCGCCCCUGCAGGGUCGCCCGGCGCCUGCCCAUUAGCGAUUACCGAACUAUCGAAAUCAUCAAUCAUCGAUUCCCAUGAAUCAAGCCGCCACCACGACUGGCUAAUUUUUUUGUGUUUCCCUUACCAAUAAAGCU
This 285-nucleotide long non-coding RNA is filed under the name Homo sapiens (human). RNAcentral's name for it is "non-protein coding lnc-MVD-3:3". The record is from RNAcentral. Lineage: Eukaryota; Metazoa; Chordata; Mammalia; Primates; Hominidae.